Grammomys surdaster is the source of this 4309-nucleotide long non-coding RNA. RefSeq lists it as uncharacterized. NCBI's taxonomy places the organism in Eukaryota, Metazoa, Chordata, Mammalia, Rodentia, Muridae. The transcript is spliced from 4 exons. The record is from RefSeq and is a predicted model, not a curated record.
ACUUUUAUAUCUAUAUAUCUAUAUCUAUAUCUAUAUAUAGAUAAUGAAUUCUUUGUCUAAGAAAAUGUGUCACGAUGAAUAUUGAAUUAAUUUUGGCCAGAGAUGAAAGGAAACAAUUUCCUGUUGUUCUGGUGCAUUCUGGCAAUGUGCUAACUCUCAAGAGAUACUUAGUGAUUUUCCAGGGGCUAGUUCUUUUAUAGAGCACUUGGGGUGCUCCCCCUCCCCCAAGUUGCAGGACAAAGGAACAGCCAUGUAACUUGAGGCCUCCGUAGCUCCUGAUAGUGGGACCAGAGCUGUUGCUAGUGUGCGGAGGCCCAGAGACCUAACCAGAGCAAGUUUCACAUUUACUUCUGUUGUGGGUGCUGAGGUCAUGUGAUAGUCUUCUCUUCCUGAAAGCAACACUUCCUGCCCAUGGCUAUGUUAUGAACCAAUACAUUUUGCUCUCAAAUGAACUUGGAAAGCUCUAGACGUGGAUGGCGAUGCCACCCUGAGGGAGACUCAGAUACCACCUGUGGGGCUGUCACAGGACUCUGACAGAUCAAACCUCUACUGUGGGGAGAUGGAUGCUCUGUCCCUGGGGCUUCAAGAUGUUUCCUAGGCUGUGCAGACAGCGUUCCUGGUAUCUCUAAAUAGCCAGCUGAUUAGUAUUUGGUGAGGGAAGCUAGGGAUUUGGGUUGAGAAAGUUCAGUGAAUGUUUUUGAAGGUCACUGUCCUUGGGGCAAGUUUUCAAUGUUCUGUGCUGCAGGGCAUGAUGACUUACAUAUGGAAAACCACGUGCAGAGAGGCAUGUAUGCAGUGUCUGUUUUUUGUUUGUUUGUUUGUUUUUUGUGGUCAUGGGUGUCAGGGCAAGGAGGAAGGACAAUAUAGCCAAAGUGUUCUCUCAGGUGUUUGAUUUCAUGGGAGAAUUGAGCUUUUUCCCUCCCCUUAGGGACACCACUCUGCCUAGAAGAAAUUAGUCUAUGGUCUGGAAACCCUGUAAAGUCCUUGAGAGGGAUAAAACUUGAACCUCUGACCCACUGGGAGGGCACCAACUUCCACUGACUUUUUCUAAGAAGUUUUUUCGGUAAAGAUAUUGAUAAUUUAAGUCCUCCUUAAGCUUUGCAAGGGCCAAUACCAAAUAUGUUGCUCAAUUUCAUGUGUAAACUUGAUUGGGCCAUAGCUGCAAAAACAUUCCGAGACUACCAUUGGAGGGGAUUUUUAGGUGAGGCUAACACUAGAAUCUAUACGAUGAGUAAAGCAGACGGUCUGCCCCAGUGUGGGUAGGCCUUGCCCUGUCAGGAAUGGAGCAAGCAUGUAGGAAGGGAUGGAUGGAUGGGCAUGAGGCAGGCGCAAAGAUAGGGGCUAGCCUUUGCCAUUGCGGGUUGAUUCUGACUUUGCCACUAGAUGUGCUGCAGGGAAUCCCUGCCAACUCCUUAGGGAGGGUCCCUGACCUUAUCCAUUUGCUCUGAGCCUGGCUCUCUCUGUAUGCAGCACAACCCACAAAAGUCACACGAGGGAGUUGAGGGACUGAAGCAUCAGAACUCCUGGAUGUUGGAGACUGGCUGGAUGACUAGAGCUUGCUCCCGGUUGACCACGGAAGAAGCCGAUGCUGAGGAACGCGGCUGUGCUCUGAAGACUGUCCGGCCUGCUUGUCUCAGUAAUGCUCACUGCGUCUGUACCUCUUGAGUCAGGGCAGGGAGGCACAGAGAGGCAUAGAGGCUGCAUAGAGUGAGUGCAUCCAGGUUACCCAGCUAACAAGUGACUGAGACAAGAUUUGAACCCACACAGUGAGAGUCAAGGAAACCUACUCUUUUUUUUUUUCCCUUUCUAUGUCCUCUUCCUCACUUUGGCUUUGCAUAUUUAUUCAUUUAAUUGAGAGGAAAUUUACAUGUAAAAUGAACUUGAUUUUAAUGUACAGUGAGUACUUUCCCAGAGUUAGGCAGUCUGGCUACGGUAGUGCCUUUAGAGUAUUUCUUUGUCUCCAGUAAGACCCUCCUAUCUUCAUCCUCAGCCCCAGCAGCUGCUCACUACUGUCCCUGUCCACGCUUUUCAGGUACUGGAUAUUUCCCGUCAACGCAAUCCUAUGUCAGUCUACAUCGUGGCAUUUCUGUGUCUACCUUCUAUCAGUGGGAAUGUCUAUGAGGUUCCUCCUUAAUGUCACAUGGGCGCCAGCGUGCUUUUUCUUCAUCUUUAAUAUUUAAACUACAAGGCUGGAGUGGGCUUUUCCAGUGAAGAAGCAGCUGCCUCUGAGUCACCCAUACUUCUUUGCUGUCAUCUGCAAGUCCAGCCUGAGGAUCCAAGGCUUACAGCUCCUUCAUUGCUGAGGUGAACCAGCAUGGAGUGAGAUCAGACCCCAGCUUUAUCCAUAUUGGCAGCCAAGAGGCAUCUGUAUGAGUCACCUGGUACCCCAGAUACCACAUGCCCUAAUACCAACUGUUCAUCUCUUACACAGCCAUUCUCUGGCCAAAUUGUAUCUAUGGUGACUGUGGUAUCUUGGGUAAGUAGAUGCCAAUGCCUUCCUGUGUGCUUUUUGGGCCCCUCUCACUAGGCCAGCCAAAUCUACUUCCACACCUGGCUCAGGAACUCCUGCCCAAGCAGCCUUGAGGUCAGUGUCGGGUCCUUCUUUACCUUCUCCCAUCCUGUGGCAAUAAACUCUUCCAACCUACUUCAGUAGCAUUCUCGCACCCUUGCCUCUGACUGUAUUAACUUCCUACUCUACAGAAUCAUCUAUAGCCUCAGGUGAGAGCUACGUGUUUACCAAGUUGAAUGGAUGCAGGGGACAGACCGACUGGCAAGGGGUUCAGCACGGAGAAAGCUCUUCCAUACUAAGACCCCACAGUGUUUCCCAAGACAAGAUUCAACAAGCCUGCUAGGAUCUGGACAUGCAAAGCGGAGUCAAGUCUCAUCCUUGAGCAGGGAAGCCCCCGGAGCUGGAAGGGCAGUUCAAGGGUAGAGUCCUAGCAGCCCCAUGAGCAGCUGUGGAGGUGAUGCCUCUAAGGAACGAAGGCAGUGACCACACAACCCGGUUGUCGGUCAUUGUUCCCCAGAAAUGAAGCGCACAACCAGAACCUUCAGCAGGCGGAAUGACACUGCAGCCUGAAGGAAGCUGUGCAUGACUGACGGUCAGGGCAACCUUUGUGUUAGCCCACAGGAGCUCUGCAUCCUAGGGAGACCUGAAGAGCAAGAGUGGAAAGUCAGGGGCUGAAUUGAGAAGGCAAUGCAACGAUGCAUUAGCCCGUGACUUGUUCACUCAGGUUCACUUUCUACUAACAACCCUGAUUCCUAAAAUCACAUGGAGGCUCGAUAUCAGAUGUCAGAAAUCUACAUACCUGGAGAGUGAGAAGACAAAGUGUGAAGACCACCAUUUCCCUCUCAGCUUCCUGGGGAGACCAUCUCCACACCAAGGGAACAUGAACACAGUUAUGGAAGGUUCCAGGAUAUCUUUCCCAGGACCACUAUCCCAUUUCCAGGGUCCUUCACUUUGACACACACAUUAUCCAUGGGUCUUAGAGAGGCAGGGUAGUGAAGGUUCUUGGGACAGGCAAAACUUGAUCUAUGACAAAUCCUCACAGCAGAAGUAUCUUAGGAGGACUAGAGACACUUGAGUGACAACCGACAGGUGUUUCACUCUCACCUGAAGCUCAGAUGACAUACAGCCAUGAGCGCUAGACUGCUAAGGCUGGGUGCCCUGCACCCAUGAGCUGCAGUUCAAUGUAGGAAGUCCAGAUGUAGGAAGGAAGGCACCAGCACUAUGGCAUAAUGGCUGGUAACAUCAGCCACUCUUUAUGGAGCACAACAGAGUCUCCUUUCUGCCUUUACUACACCUUAUAGGAUCCCAAACUGAAGCUCUGAGGGCUUGGUUGUCUGUGUGUAAUACACAUGAAUACAGUGACCUGGGAAGCCAUAAGAAGGUGUCAGACCCCUUGGAACUGGAGUUACAAACUAUUGUGAUCCCUUUCCCUCAACCCCAUGUGGGUGCUGGGAAGCAAACUUGGGUCCACUGCAGGAGUGUAUACUCUUAAACACGGAGACAUCUCUCCAGCCCCCAAGUAUCUGUUUUCCUAUAUAACCUUUUUCUAUAAAGUCAAGACAAGGUGAUCCAUCUGGCAAGGUAAUUGUUUUUAAUGCUCCAGGAAAAAAGAAAAAAAAAAACCCAGAUAAAACAAUGUCUUUCUACAGCAAAAGAAACAAAACUCAGACCUUCCCUAACUUUUAGGUGUGAAUAUACUUAAAGGGUUGAAAGAUUUAAAACACACACACACACACACACACACACGCACACACCACUCAUUAAAAUCUGCAAACACAGUGUGUUUCAGGUGUAUCCGUA